Molecule: unclassified non-coding RNA, 1169 nt
Filed under: Hevea brasiliensis (rubber tree)
Lineage: Eukaryota; Viridiplantae; Streptophyta; Magnoliopsida; Malpighiales; Euphorbiaceae
Source: RNAcentral
CUGAGAUGAUAUUAGACAAAAGAAUAGCGUGAAAAUGCAGCAACGCUUACAAGUAUAUCUUGACCUAUCCAAGCAAAGGAGAUGUGACGGUAAACUGCCCACAGAACUGCAAAGGCUAUGCAGAAUGGAGAAAUCGCCAGCGUCAGAUAUGAAACAGGUCCCAGAAAAGGAAUUUUAAUGUAUGACUGUCCAAAACGUUCAAACCAUCUGAAACAUGAUAGCAAAGCGACCAAACAAGUUUGUAGACCCUCAACACCCCCAAUGGCGAAUAGAACCACUAGAACCUCUAUAAACCAGGAGGACAUCAAUUUGAAAAGCAUAAUCAAGAAGCAGGAUGCAACCACCACAAACAGAACUGCUGAUAUUAUGUUGAUUUCAAGCACAACACCGGAACGAAACCCCUCUGUGACAUUGCAUUCAUUUGAGCCAUCUUUUAAGAGCUUGUCCUGCUCAAUUGCAGCUUCUCUGGCACGCCAUGCAGACCAAUAAGAAGCACAUAAUAUGGUAGCAACUGCCAUAAGCCAUAAAAAGACUUCAGCUACAUCGACCAUUGGGCGCUUUGGAGAGUACAGCUGUACAGAAACAGAAGAGCUAUUUCCAAGAAACUUUAUCAGGCUUGUGCCAGCAUGUUGUGGGAGCAUGAUAGCAGGGAUGCCAAUGUCCAAGUCAGGUUCAUGGGGUUCACAAACCAUCUUGAAGAGCUCUGUUUGGUUGUUUAUUAUGAGGAUAGCUGAAGCACCGGCAUCUUCUGCAACGUUAGCUUUGGUAGUGAAACUGCAAUUACCUCGGUGCACCAGGAUGGCCUCACCAGUGAGCUUAUUCCUAGGUGUGCUACAACAAUCCGGAGGGUCUGCAAAAGCCAGUCUUGUCUGAUUAGCACGCUUCUCCUUUGAUUCCAAUGUUGGUCCAAAUCGAGCACCAACACCAACAAACUCUGUUACUUCUAUACCGUCAACCCAGAUCGGAACUUUGACCAGAACAAAAUUGUUGUUACAACCAGGUCUACUUGGAGCAAUAUCAUCUUGGUGAACUAUAUCACCCCCACUAACUAAACCAGUACACAGCACAACUACAACAACAAAAACAGCAAAAAUUGAACAAUCCAAUUUCUUCAACUCCAUGAAAUUCAACAACCCUAAAAUAAUUAUUAAAAAAAAAACUCCUUUUUU